RNAcentral lists this ribosomal RNA (429 nucleotides) under uncultured prokaryote. RNAcentral's name for it is "bacterial SSU rRNA". It matches the Rfam family "Bacterial small subunit ribosomal RNA", at positions 355 to 776 of the family's 1533-position model. The record is from RNAcentral. RNAcentral also lists the same sequence under 1 other name.
UGGGGAAUAUUGGACAAUGGGCGAAAGCCUGAUCCAGCCAUGCCGCGUGUGUGAAGAAGGUCUUCGGAUUGUAAAGCACUUUAAGUUGGGAGGAAGGGUAGUAACUUAAUACGUUGCUACUUUGACGUUACCGACAGAAUAAGCACCGGCUAACUUCGUGCCAGCAGCCGCGGUAAUACGAAGGGUGCAAGCGUUAAUCGGAAUUACUGGGCGUAAAGCGCGCGUAGGUGGUUCAGUAAGUUGGAAGUGAAAUCCCCGGGCUCAACCUGGGAACUGCUUUCAAAACUGCUGAGCUAGAGUACGGUAGAGGGUAGUGGAAUUUCCUGUGUAGCGGUGAAAUGCGUAGAUAUAGGAAGGAACAUCAGUGGCGAAGGCGACCACCUGGACUGAUACUGACACUGAGGUGCGAAAGCGUGGGGAGCAAACAGG